GACGAACGCUGGCGGCGUGCCUAAUACAUGCAAGUAGAACGCUGAAGAGAAGAGCUUGCUCUUCUUGGAUGAGUUGCGAACGGGUGAGUAACGCGUAGGUAACCUGCCUGGUAGCGGGGGAUAACUAUUGGAAACGAUAGCUAAUACCGCAUAAAAUUGAUUAUUGCAUGAUAAUUAAUUGAAAGAUGCAAUUGCAUCACUACCAGAUGGACCUGCGUUGUAUUAGCUAGUUGGUGAGGUAACGGCUCACCAAGGCGACGAUACAUAGCCGACCUGAGAGGGUGAUCGGCCACACUGGGACUGAGACACGGCCCAGACUCCUACGGGAGGCAGCAGUAGGGAAUCUUCGGCAAUGGGGGGAACCCUGACCGAGCAACGCCGCGUGAGUGAAGAAGGUUUUCGGAUCGUAAAGCUCUGUUGUAAGAGAAGAACGGGUGUGAGAGUGGAAAGUUCACACUGUGACGGUAUCUUACCAGAAAGGGACGGCUAACUACGUGCCAGCAGCCGCGGUAAUACGUAGGUCCCGAGCGUUGUCCGGAUUUAUUGGGCGUAAAGCGAGCGCAGGCGGUUAGAUAAGUCUGAAGUUAAAGGCUGUGGCUUAACCAUAGUAUGCUUUGGAAACUGUUUAACUUGAGUGCAGAAGGGGAGAGUGGAAUUCCAUGUGUAGCGGUGAAAUGCGUAGAUAUAUGGAGGAACACCGGUGGCGAAAGCGGCUCUCUGGUCUGUAACUGACGCUGAGGCUCGAAAGCGUGGGGAGCAAACAGGAUUAGAUACCUUGGUAGUCCACGCCGUAAACGAUGAGUGCUAGGUGUUAGGCCCUUUCCGGGGCUUAGUGCCGCAGCUAACGCAUUAAGCACUCCGCCUGGGGAGUACGACCGCAAGGUUGAAACUCAAAGGAAUUGACGGGGGCCCGCACAAGCGGUGGAGCAUGUGGUUUAAUUCGAAGCAACGCGAAGAACCUUACCAGGUCUUGACAUCCCGAUGCCCGCUCUAGAGAUAGAGUUUUACUUCGGUACAUCGGUGACAGGUGGUGCAUGGUUGUCGUCAGCUCGUGUCGUGAGAUGUUGGGUUAAGUCCCGCAACGAGCGCAACCCCUAUUGUUAGUUGCCAUCAUUCAGUUGGGCACUCUAGCGAGACUGCCGGUAAUAAACCGGAGGAAGGUGGGGAUGACGUCAAAUCAUCAUGCCCCUUAUGACCUGGGCUACACACGUGCUACAAUGGCUGGUACAACGAGUCGCAAGCCGGUGACGGCAAGCUAAUCUCUGAAAGCCAGUCUCAGUUCGGAUUGUAGGCUGCAACUCGCCUACAUGAAGUCGGAAUCGCUAGUAAUCGCGGAUCAGCACGCCGCGGUGAAUACGUUCCCGGGCCU
Molecule: ribosomal RNA, 1369 nt
Filed under: uncultured bacterium
Lineage: Bacteria
Description: bacterial SSU rRNA
Rfam family: Bacterial small subunit ribosomal RNA
Source: RNAcentral